UACACACCGCCCGUCACACCAUGGGAGUGGGUUGUACCAGAAGUAGGUAGUCUAACCGUGAGGAGGACGCUUACCACGGUAUGAUUCAUGACUGGGGUG
RNAcentral lists this ribosomal RNA (99 nucleotides) under uncultured bacterium. RNAcentral's name for it is "partial 16S ribosomal RNA". It matches the Rfam family "Bacterial small subunit ribosomal RNA", at positions 1384 to 1482 of the family's 1533-position model. The record is from RNAcentral.